CCUACGGGAGGCAGCAGUGGGGAAUAUUGCACAAUGGGGGAAACCCUGAUGCAGCGACGCCGCGUGAGUGAAGAAGUAAUUCGUUAUGUAAAGCUCUAUCAGCAGGGAAGAUAAUGACGGUACCUGAGUAAGAAGCCCCGGCUAACUACGUGCCAGCAGCCGCGGUAAUACGGAGGGGGCAAGCGUUAUCCGGAUUUACUGGGUGUAAAGGGGGCGCAGGCGGGAGCGCAAGCCAGGUGUGAAAGCCCGGGGCCCAACCCCGGGACUGCACUUGGAACUGCGCGGCUGGAGUGCAGGAGGGGCAGGCGGAAUUCCUGGUGUAGCGGUGAAAUGCAUAGAUAUCACGCAGAAUCCUGAUUGCGAAGGCAGCCUUCCGGCGCCCUACUGACGCUGAGGCACGAAAGUGCGGGGAUCGAACAGGAUUAGAUACCCUUGUAGUC
RNAcentral lists this ribosomal RNA (440 nucleotides) under uncultured bacterium. RNAcentral's name for it is "partial 16S ribosomal RNA". It matches the Rfam family "Bacterial small subunit ribosomal RNA", at positions 338 to 795 of the family's 1533-position model. The record is from RNAcentral.